This 253-nucleotide ribosomal RNA is filed under the name uncultured bacterium. Its description in RNAcentral is "partial 16S ribosomal RNA". It matches the Rfam family "Bacterial small subunit ribosomal RNA", at positions 524 to 776 of the family's 1533-position model. The record is from RNAcentral.
UACGGGGGGGGCAAGCGUUGUUCGGAAUUACUGGGCGUAAAGGGCGCGUAGGCGGCCUGCUAAGUCGGAUGUGAAAUCCCUCGGCUCAACCGAGGAACUGCAUCCGAUACUGGCGGGCUUGAAUCCGGGAGAGGGAUGUGGAAUUCCAGGUGUAGCGGUGAAAUGCGUAGAUAUUCGCAAGAACACCAGUGGCGAAGGCGGCUCACUGGCCCGAUACUGACGCUGAGGCACGAAAGCGUGGGGAGCAAACAGG